This is a long non-coding RNA of Phycodurus eques (leafy seadragon), 503 nucleotides long. RefSeq lists it as uncharacterized. The record is from RefSeq and is a predicted model, not a curated record. The transcript has 3 exons. Lineage: Eukaryota; Metazoa; Chordata; Actinopteri; Syngnathiformes; Syngnathidae.
GUUUCACUAUGGAUAGAAACAAUCAGAGAGACAGAGGUAGCGUAAGAGGAGAGAGAGGAGGCACAGUGGGAGGAAAAAAGAAACAAGGAACAAUGGUCAGCCUUCCCAGGAGUGGCCGGCCUAAAAAGAUUACCCUAAGAGAACAGCAAUGACUCAUCAGGAGGCCAGAAAGGAACUCAGAAGUUGUUCUGAAGAUCUGCAGGCCUCCCUUGCCUCAGUUAAGGCCUGGCUGGCUGAAUACAUCACAGAUCUCCCACGGGGCGACAAGGCCGGCCUCACCACCACAAGAGACAAUUGGAUGACGGGGACGGAUUUAAGAGAAUGCGUCAUCAUUAGAGGCAUUAGCAUUAUCUUGACUUCAAAAACAUUAUAACGGUAUUACCAUUACUCUCUGUAUUAGUGAGAUGAGUAUACAUAUUGGUGGGGGCAACGGUCAAGUUUUGUGGUCAUAAUGGCAAAAAUGUCUAAGUGACAAAUGGAGAGAUUAAAAAUGUCAGGCUACA